Molecule: ribosomal RNA, 186 nt
Filed under: uncultured bacterium
Lineage: Bacteria
Description: partial 16S ribosomal RNA
Rfam family: Bacterial small subunit ribosomal RNA
Source: RNAcentral
GCCUGCGUGAAGUUGGAAUCGCUAGUAAUCGCGGAUCAGCAUGCCGCGGUGAAUACGUUCCCGGGCCUUGUACACACCGCCCGUCACACCAUGAGAGUCGGGAACACCCGAAGUCCGUAGCCUAACCGCAAGGGGGCGCGGCCGAAGGUGGGUUCGAUAAUUGGGGUGAAGUCGUAACAAGGUAAC